Telopea speciosissima is the source of this 136-nucleotide long non-coding RNA. RefSeq lists it as uncharacterized. The transcript has 3 exons. The record is from RefSeq and is a predicted model, not a curated record. Lineage: Eukaryota; Viridiplantae; Streptophyta; Magnoliopsida; Proteales; Proteaceae.
AGAGAUUUGAGAAUACUGGGGAGGGUACUUAAGGAGAAGAGGGAGAAGAAGAGUUUUACUCACCAAGAGGUUCUGUUGGUAGUAAGGAGAGCCCAAUUCUUACAGGUUCGAGCUCAAGAAGAGUGUUUUAAGCUGU